UACGGAGGGUGCAAGCGUUAUCCGGAUUCACUGGGCUUAAAGGGUGCGUAGGCGGGUUGGUGAGUCAGUGGUGAAAUCUCCGAGCUUAACUUGGAGACUGCCAUUGAUACUAUCAGUCUUGAAUACCGUGGAGGUCAGCGGAAUAUGUCAUGUAGCGGUGAAAUGCUUAGAUAUGACAUAGAACACCAAUGGCGAAGGCAGCUGACUACGCGAAGAUUGACACUGAUGCACGAAAGCGUGGGGAUCAAACAGG
Molecule: ribosomal RNA, 253 nt
Filed under: uncultured bacterium
Lineage: Bacteria
Description: partial 16S ribosomal RNA
Rfam family: Bacterial small subunit ribosomal RNA
Source: RNAcentral